AGUGAACGCUGGCGGUAGGCCUAACGCAUGCAAGUCGAACGGCAGCACAGUAAGAGCUUGCUCUUACGGGUGGCGAGUGGCGGACGGGUGAGGAAUACAUCGGAAUCUACUUUUUCGUGGGGGAUAACGUAGGGAAACUUACGCUAAUACCGCAUACGACCUACGGGUGAAAGCAGGGGAUCUUCGGACCUUGCGCGAUUGAAUGAGCCGAUGUCGGAUUAGCCAGUUGGCGGGGUAAAGGCCCAUCAAGGCGACGAUCCGUAGCUGGUCUGAGAGGAUGAUCAGCCACACUGGAACUGAGACACGGUCCAGACUCCUACGGGAGGCAGCAGUGGGGAAUAUUGGACAAUGGGCGCAAGCCUGAUCCAGCCAUACCGCGUGGGUGAAGAAGGCCUUCGGGUUGUAAAGCCCUUUUGUUGGGAAAGAAAAGCAGCAGGUUAAUACCCCGCUGUUCUGACGGUACCCAAAGAAUAAGCACCGGCUAACUUCGUG
RNAcentral lists this ribosomal RNA (492 nucleotides) under uncultured bacterium. RNAcentral's name for it is "partial 16S ribosomal RNA". It matches the Rfam family "Bacterial small subunit ribosomal RNA", at positions 29 to 507 of the family's 1533-position model. The record is from RNAcentral.